GAUGAACGCUGGCGGCGUGCCUAAUACAUGCAAGUCGAGCGAACAGACGAGGAUCUUGCUCCUCUGACGUUAGCGGCGGACGGGUGAGUCACACGUGGAUAACCUACCUAUCAGACUGGUAUAACCUCGAGAAACCGGCUCUAAUACCGGAUAAUCUAUUGCACCGCAGGGGUCAUUAGUGAGAGACGGUUGUGCUGUCUCUUAUAGAUGCAUACGCGCCGCUUUAGCUAGUUGGGAAGGUCACGGCUUAUCACGGCGACGAUGCGUAGCCGACCGGAGAGAGUGAUAGCCCGCCAGGGAGGGGGGACAGGGACCAUAGUCCUACGGGAGGGAGCAGUAGGGAACCUUCCGCAAAGGGGGAAAGCCUGACGCAGCAGCGGCGCGUGAGUGAUGAAGGUCUUCGGAUCGUGAAACUCGGUUAUGGGGUAAGAACAAAUGUGUAAGUAACUAUGCACGGAUUGACGGUACCUGAUCAGAAAGCCACGGCUAACUACGUG
RNAcentral lists this ribosomal RNA (497 nucleotides) under uncultured bacterium. RNAcentral describes it as "partial 16S ribosomal RNA". It matches the Rfam family "Bacterial small subunit ribosomal RNA", at positions 28 to 507 of the family's 1533-position model. The record is from RNAcentral.